RNAcentral lists this ribosomal RNA (1244 nucleotides) under metagenome. Its description in RNAcentral is "bacterial LSU rRNA". It matches the Rfam family "Bacterial large subunit ribosomal RNA", at positions 1564 to 2818 of the family's 2925-position model. The record is from RNAcentral.
UGAAUACGAGAUGCUACGGCGUCGAAGCAGUGUAUGUCAGACUUCCAAGAAAAGCUCGCUAUGUCAAAAUAAAUAAUGCCUGUACCAUAACCGACACAGGUGGGUAGGUAGAGUAUACUAAGGGGCGCGAGAUAACUCUCUCUAAGGAACUCGGCAAAAUGACUCCGUAACUUCGGGAGAAGGAGUGCCUUAUUUAUAAGGUUGCAAUAACAAGAUCCAAGCAACUGUUUAUCAAAAACACAGGUCUCCGCUAAGUCGUAAGACGAUGUAUGGGGGCUGACGCCUGCCCAGUGCCAGAAGGUUAAAGAAGUUGGUUAGUGUAUGCGAAGCUGAUGACUGAAGCCCUGGUGAACGGCGGCCGUAACAAUAACGGUCCUAAGGUAGCGAAAUUCCUUGUCGGGUAAGUUCCGACCCGCACGAAAGGCGUAAUGAUUUGGAUACUGUCUCGGAGAGAGGCUCGGUGAAAUAGACUUGUCUGUGAAGAUGCGGACUACCUGCACCAGGACAGAAAGACCCUAUGAAGCUUUACUGUAACUUGAAAUUGGAAUUGGACUUUGCUUGCGCAGUAUAGGUGGGAAGCGUUGAAGAUAUUCUUGCGGGAGUAUUGGAGCUAUCAGUGAGAUACCACUCUUGUAAUGUUAGAUUUCUAACUUUGAACCAUAAUCUGGUCAAAGAACAGUUUCAGGUGGGCAGUUUGACUGGGGCGGUCGCCUCCCAAAUGGUAACGGAGGCGUACAAAGGUUUCCUCUGAACGGAUAGAAAUCGUAUCUAGAGUGUAAAGGCAUAAGGAAGCUUGACUGUGAGACCUACAAGUCGAGCAGGGACGAAAGUCGGUCUUAGUGAUCUGACGGUACUGAGUGGAAAGGCCGUCACUCAACGGAUAAAAGUUACUCUAAGGAUAACAGGCUGAUCUCCCCCAAGAGUUCACAUCGACGGGGAGGUUUGGCACCUCGAUGUCGGCUCAUCGCAUCCUGGGGCGGUAGUACGUCCCAAGGGUUGGGCUGUUCGCCCAUGAAAGCGGUACGCGAGCUGGGUUCAGAACGUCGUGAGACAGUUCGGUCCAUAUCCGGUGUAGGCGUUAGAAUAUUGAGAGGAGCCUUCUUUAGUACGAGAGGACCGAGAAGGACACACCGCUGGUGUACCAGUUAUCGUGCCAACGGUAAACGCUGGGUAGCUAUGUGUGGAGUGGAUAACCGCUGAAAGCAUCUAAGUGGGAAGCCCACCUCAAGAUGAGUAUUCUCAUA